AUACCUUUCUCGGCCUUUUGGCUAAGAUCAAGUGUAGUAUCUGUUCUUAUCAGUUUAAUAUCUGAUACGUGGGCCAUCGGCCCACAUGAUAUUAAAUUAAUUUUUCUCGGGGGAAGGCCCAACACAUUAGCUUGCUAUUGUGGGCCUUUGAGCGUUGCCCUUGCCUUGCACUACCGCAUGGGCCUGGCCCACCCCAC
Molecule: small nuclear RNA, 197 nt
Organism: Cucurbita pepo subsp. pepo (vegetable marrow)
Lineage: Eukaryota; Viridiplantae; Streptophyta; Magnoliopsida; Cucurbitales; Cucurbitaceae
Product: U2 spliceosomal RNA
Source: RefSeq, a predicted model, not a curated record